This 240-nucleotide long non-coding RNA is filed under the name Carica papaya (papaya). RNAcentral's name for it is "long non-coding RNA (CPAP_LNC004550)". Lineage: Eukaryota; Viridiplantae; Streptophyta; Magnoliopsida; Brassicales; Caricaceae. The record is from RNAcentral.
UUCAACCCAUAAUCAAUAAAAUAGUGAUAUAUGCACACGAAAUUAUGAAAUGAAAACAUCAGACCUCAUACUGCAUUUAAAACUAUAAAAUAGGCCAAACAGCAGCUAACCGACAAACACACCAGACUCGGGCUCCAUUAGUGACCUUAAACAAUUUCACACAUCUGUUGAUUCAUGAAAUACCAUUUUAUCAUUUAUUGAACUUUAAUACCGUGAUAGGAAAUAGGAUGAGGGGUCCUU